RNAcentral lists this unclassified non-coding RNA (253 nucleotides) under uncultured Bacteroidota bacterium. RNAcentral's name for it is "uncultured Bacteroidetes bacterium contains 16S-23S intergenic spacer region". It matches the Rfam family "Bacterial small subunit ribosomal RNA", at positions 524 to 776 of the family's 1533-position model. The record is from RNAcentral. Lineage: Bacteria; Pseudomonadati; Bacteroidota.
UACGAAAGGUGCAAGCGUUGUCCGGAAUCAUUGGGUGUAAAGGGUGCGUAGGCGGGAGCCUAAGUCGGAGGUGAAAUCCUGCCGCUUAACGGUAAAAUUGCCUUCGAUACUGGGUUUCUUGAGUGCAGAAGGGGUCGGUGGAAUUCGUAGUGUAGCGGUGAAAUGCAUAGAUAUUACGAAGAAUACCGGUGGCGAAGGCGGCCCCCUGGACAAAGACUGACGCUCAGGUGCGAAAGCGUGGGGAGCAAACAGG